GAUGAAGAACGCAGCGAAAUGCGAUAAGUAAUGUGAAUUGCAGAAUUCAGUGAAUCAUCGAAUCUUUGAACGCACAUUGCGCCCGCUAGUAUUCUGGCGGGCAUGCCUGUUCGAGCGUCAUUUCAACCAUCAAGCCCCAGGCUUGUGUUGGGGGCCUGCGGCUGCCGCAGCCCCUGAAAAGCAGUGGCGGGCUCGCUGUCAUUCCGAGCGCAGUAGUUACAUCUCGCUCCGGGCGUGGCGGUGGGCACCUGCCGUGAAACACUCCUUCUAAGGUUGACCUCGGAUCAGGUAGGAAUACCCGCUGAACUUAAGCAUAUCAAAGCGGAGGA
Molecule: unclassified non-coding RNA, 329 nt
Filed under: soil metagenome
Description: partial contains 5.8S ribosomal RNA, internal transcribed spacer 2, and large subunit ribosomal RNA
Rfam family: 5.8S ribosomal RNA (bases 1-120)
Source: RNAcentral